CUUGGGUUUGCUCUUAUCAACUGCCCUCUUCCACUCAGCCCACAGAUUUUCAAUUGGAUUGAGGUCUGGAGACUGAGAUGGCCAUGGCAGAACAUUGAUUUUGUCGUCACAGAACCAUUUCUGUGUGGAUUUUGAGGUAUGUUUCGGGUCAUUGUCUUGUUGGAAAGUCCACCUACGGCCAAGUCCCAGCCCUCUGACAGAGGCAACCAGAUUGUCAGCCCAGAUUACCUGAUACUUGGUGGAAUUCAUUAUGCCAUUUAUCUUAACCAAGAGCCCCUGGACCUCUGGAAUUAAAACAGCCCCAAAACAUCACUGACCCCCCUCCAUAUUUCACCGUGGGUAUGAGGUACCUCUCCUUGUAUGAAUCUCUGUUUCACCGUGGGUAUGAGGUAACUCUCCUGGAAUCUGUUUCACCGUGGGUAUGAGGUAACUCUCCUGGUAUGCAUCUCUGUUUCACCGUGGGUAUGAGGUAACUCUCCUGGUAUCUCUGUUUCACCGUGGGUAUGAGGUGCCUCUCCUGGUAUCUCUGUUUCACCGUGGGUAUGAGGUGACUCUCCUGGUAUGCAUCUCUGUUUCACCGUGGGUAUGAGGUGUCUCUCCUUGUAUCUCUGUUUCACCGUGGGUAUGAGGUGCCUCUCCUUGUAUCUCUGUUUCACCAUGGGUAUGAGGUUCCUCUCCUUGUAUCUCUGUUUCACCGUGGGUAUGAGGUGCCUCUCCUUGUAUCUCUGUUUCACCGUGGGUAUGAGGUGUCUCUCCUUGUAUCUCUGUUUCACCGUGGGUAUGAGGUGCCUCUCCUUGUAUCUCUGUUUCACCGUGGGUAUGAGGUGCCUCUCCUUGUAUCUCUGUUUCACCGUGGGUAUGAGGUGUCUCUCCUUGUAUCUCUGUUUCACCGUGGGUAUGAGGUGCCUCUCCUUGUAUCUCUGUUUCACCGUGGGUAUGAGGUGUCUCUC
Molecule: long non-coding RNA, 950 nt
Organism: Oncorhynchus keta (chum salmon)
Lineage: Eukaryota; Metazoa; Chordata; Actinopteri; Salmoniformes; Salmonidae
Exons: 3
Source: RefSeq, a predicted model, not a curated record